This 273-nucleotide unclassified non-coding RNA is filed under the name uncultured fungus. Its description in RNAcentral is "partial contains 18S rRNA, ITS1, 5.8S rRNA, ITS2 and 28S rRNA". Lineage: Eukaryota; Fungi. The record is from RNAcentral.
AGGGAUCAUUAACAUUCAAACGAGGGGUUCGCUCCGUUCUCCUCACCCUCUAUAGCCCAUUGAGGUGGAGGCAGGGAGAAGCUCGGGAAGGUAGGAAAGGAGCUCUGCCCCUUCCCUACCGGUCUGAGUGGACUCUGUCCCUUCUCUAUGUGCUAUGUCCCACACCCUUGAACCUCUUUAUAUCACCCCUCCUCACCAAUCCCAUGUACUUUAGAAAUAAGUGUCCCCUCUAAAAUCUAGAUACCACUCCUAGCAAUGGAUCUCUAGACUUCC